CCUACGGGUGGCAGCAGUGAGGAAUAUUGGUCAAUGGGCGUAAGCCUGAACCAGCCAAGCCGCGUGAGGGAUGAAGGUUCUACGGAUCGUAAACCUCUUUUAUCAGGGAAUAAAGUGCGGGACGUGUCCCGUGUUGUAUGUACCUUAUGAAUAAGGAUCGGCUAACUCCGUGCCAGCAGCCGCGGUAAUACGGAGGAUCCGAGCGUUAUCCGGAUUUAUUGGGUUUAAAGGGUGCGUAGGCGGCCUUUUAAGUCAGCGGUGAAAGUUUGUGGCGAAAACAUCGAAUUGCCGUUGAAACUGGAAGACUUGAGUGGGUGUGAGGUAGGCGGAAUGCGUGGUGUAGCGGUGAAAUGCAUAGAUAGCACGCAGAACUCCGAUUGCGAAGGCAGCUUACUAAGCCAUAACUGACACUGAAGCACGAAAGCGUGGGGAUCAAACAGGAUUAGAGACCCCUGUAGUC
This 460-nucleotide ribosomal RNA is filed under the name uncultured bacterium. RNAcentral describes it as "partial 16S ribosomal RNA". It matches the Rfam family "Bacterial small subunit ribosomal RNA", at positions 338 to 795 of the family's 1533-position model. The record is from RNAcentral.